RNAcentral lists this ribosomal RNA (918 nucleotides) under Proteus mirabilis. Its description in RNAcentral is "partial 23S ribosomal RNA". It matches the Rfam family "Bacterial large subunit ribosomal RNA", at positions 572 to 1481 of the family's 2925-position model. The record is from RNAcentral. Lineage: Bacteria; Pseudomonadati; Pseudomonadota; Gammaproteobacteria; Enterobacterales; Morganellaceae.
GAACGCAAAGGCAAGCGGGACAUUUGAGGAUGGGGUGACUGCGUACCUUUUGUAUAAUGGGUCAGCGACUUAUAUUCUGUAGCAAGGUUAACCGUAUAGGGGAGCCGUAGGGAAACCGAGUCUUAACUGGGCGAAUGAGUUGCAGGGUAUAGACCCGAAACCCGGUGAUCUAUCCAUGGGCAGGUUGAAGGUUGGGUAACACUAACUGGAGGACCGAACCGACUAAUGUUGAAAAAUUAGCGGAUGACUUGUGGAUGGGGGUGAAAGGCCAAUCAAACCGGGAGAUAGCUGGUUCUCCCCGAAAGCUAUUUAGGUAGCGCCUCGUGAACUCAUCUUCGGGGGUAGAGCACUGUUUCGACUAGGGGGUCAUCCCGACUUACCAACUCGAUGCAAACUGCGAAUACCGAAGAAUGUUAUCACGGGAGACACACGGCGGGUGCUAACGUCCGUCGUGAAGAGGGAAACAACCCAGACCGCCAGCUAAGGUCCCAAAGUCAUGGUUAAGUGGGAAACGAAGUGGGAAGGCUCAGACAGCCAGGAUGUUGGCUUAGAAGCAGCCAUCAUUUAAAGAAAGCGUAAUAGCUCACUGGUCGAGUCGGCCCGCGCGGAAGAUGUAACGGGGCUAAACCAUGCACCGAAGCUGCGGCAGCGACACAAAGUGUUGUUGGGUAGGGGAGCGUUCUGUAAGCCUGCGAAGGUGUACUGUGAGGUAUGCUGGAGGUAUCAGAAGUGCGAAUGCUGACAUAAGUAACGAUAAUGCGGGUGAAAAACCCGCACGCCGGAAGACCAAGGGUUCCUGUCCAACGUUAAUCGGGGCAGGGUGAGUCGACCCCUAAGGCGAGGCUGAAAAGCGUAGUCGAUGGGAAACGGGUUAAUAUUCCCGUACUGGUGGUAACUGCGAUGGGGGAACGGAGAAGG